GACGAACGCUGGCGGCGUGCUUAACACAUGCAAGUCGAACGAGAAGAGAUGAGAAGCUUGCUUCUUAUCAAUUCGAGUGGCAAACGGGUGAGUAACGCGUAAGCAACCUGCCCUUCAGAUGGGGACAACAGCUGGAAACGGCUGCUAAUACCGAAUACGUUCUUUUUGUCGCAUGGCAGAGGGAAGAAAGGGAGGCUCUUCGGAGCUUUCGCUGAAGGAGGGGCUUGCGUCUGAUUAGCUAGUUGGAGGGGUAACAGCCCACCAAGGCGACGAUCAGUAGCCGGUCUGAGAGGAUGAACGGCCACAUUGGGACUGAGACACGGCCCAGACUCCUACGGGAGGCAGCAGUGGGGAAUCUUCCGCAAUGGACGAAAGUCUGACGGAGCAACGCCGCGUGAACGAUGACGGCCUUCGGGUUGUAAAGUUACGUGUUAUAC
RNAcentral lists this ribosomal RNA (437 nucleotides) under uncultured bacterium. RNAcentral describes it as "bacterial SSU rRNA". It matches the Rfam family "Bacterial small subunit ribosomal RNA", at positions 28 to 443 of the family's 1533-position model. The record is from RNAcentral.